ACUGCACGUAACAAAUGCGAUGCUUUGCACUGCAGCUAUAGGCAAAGCAUCUCGAUCGAAAUGAAUGUGCUUGCACCGAGCAGGUAGUAACGAGUUGAAGUGAAUUUUAUCGCAGAAACACACACAAUCAACUCAUCGUUUUGCACGUUGGCUCACAACCACACCCGAUGAAUAUGUCUACUUUUUGAGAGAGAACAUGAACAUAUACUUUUGCAAUCAUAUAUACCGGCCUAUGUAAAGCAGCCUGGGAAUAUUAAAGCAUGAGUUAGGAAACCUGCUGCACGAAUUCCUAUUCGUUAUAUCAGCUACUGCACAAGCACAAACAAAACGUUUGCUACAUCAGUCAAUCUAGAUACUUUAUUCAAGCCCCAUUAAAUGAAAUACUGCCAAAAAUUACCACCAAGCUAAAGUUUUGACACAUUCAGUGAAAUCCAAACCGAAACCAAACGUGGAAUGGCCAAUGCAAUGUAUCGCUUGGCAACACUGGUAAGCUUGCUGCGCCGGCAGCACAUGGACGGCAGCUGUCAGAUACCGAGGCCUGUUUUCGUGUGUAAUUUUCGUUCGUGCAUCCGUGUUAACGCAAUGUUUUCCGCGGUUUGUGUGUUAUUCGUGAACGCAAUCGGAACGAGUCCUCAUCAACGCAGUUUAACGCGACUGUAAGUAAAGGGAAGCAGCGGGCGCCUUCACCGGCGCGGCCCUCGGCGAUCGCUUUGUUUGUAUGUGUCGCGCGCACGGUUCAACUUUUGAAUACCGUGGCUGCGCGUUGUCGCAGUGCAGUGAUGAUUAUAUGCCAGUGCUCAUCGUGAAACUGCACAAACCGCGUCACUGCUGAUGGAGCUGCCACGUACGUGGACGGCGGCGCCCGAGAAGACCUUUUCUGAAGAGAAUGCGUGCCUGGCGAUUGUCACUUGCAGUCGCAACUUUUACAAAGUGGCAGCUGGCCUCCAUGGGGCGGUGCAGACAGGGGACUGUCAUUGCUGGAGCACCUCGUGGCUAUCCACAGGAAAUGGAAAAAACAUGCUGUUUUCACAACGCGGACGACACCGUGUCAAAGGAAGUUAUGGAAAAGAGACUGAAAGCAGUGCACUGGUACCCCUUGCAGCAAUUGGAUGUUAUAAAUGUGAUUUCCACAUCACACACAUACCAUGACCUGAAGUUUUGGAUGGAAUGGUGAGCAUAUUUAUGCAGUGAGCCAUCUUAAGUGCCGACUGGCAUACUCUAGUGUUCAAGGGCACUGAAUAUAUUCUAAUUAAGACUGCAAGACUGUAAUACAAUCACAGUCAGAAUUCAUCAAUUCAAUAAACAAUACACAUUUGAACAGUGGUCUCCGGUACAAUGGCAUACCGACAAACAGUAGAAUAGGUAGUAGACAGGUAGUAGACUUGUAGGCUUGUAGACCUGUAAACUUGUAUGCCGAUUGGCUAGUAGACCAUCAAGGUCUGAAAUUAGGGUUAGCCAACAGACAUGUAAGCUGAUAGCUGGUUGGAAUUUUUUACUGGAGAUAUUCAUAUAAAAUUCCAGACCCGCCGUAGUGGCUAAGGCGUACGUACGUUGCUCUACUGAACUGAAAGCUCAGGAUUGAAUCCCGGGCGCGGUGGCAUUUAGAUGGAAGUGAAAUGCACUAGAUGCCUGUGUGCCAUAUGCAUUGGGUGCACAUUAAAAACCACAGGGAGUUAAAAUAAUUCGGAAUGCCUCGAUCACCAGCGUGUGCCUCAUCAUAAAGUUGUGGUUUUGGCAUGUAAAAACCCAGAUUUUAAUUUAUUGAAUUUCCAAAUAUGACCAUAUACAGGAUGUUUCAGCGAACUCUUUCAAAAAUUCUUAAAGGUUGCUUGUGGCAGGUAGCACAAUUCUAGUUCAUGAGCUGGUCUACUCGAAGAGGCGGACGUUACUUCCACAAGAAAUUGAAAUGCAUAAUCGAAUAUUUAACAGAAAUUUACUAAUUAAGUUUUUAACUAAUUACCUGAUGGCUCAUAUUGCAAUUUACAAAUUGUAGCCUUGGAGUUCGCCAGGCGGAUCCACUUGGAACAAAUUCUUGGGAUGACAUUACUUUCGAGAUAUAAAUUCCCGAAC
Dermacentor silvarum is the source of this 2070-nucleotide long non-coding RNA. RefSeq lists it as uncharacterized. The record is from RefSeq and is a predicted model, not a curated record. NCBI's taxonomy places the organism in Eukaryota, Metazoa, Arthropoda, Arachnida, Ixodida, Ixodidae. The transcript is spliced from 4 exons.